GUUCAGAGUACGUGAAACCGUUCAGGGGUAAACCUGAGAAACCCAAAAGAUCGAAUGGGGAGAUUCAUCGUCAGCGCAUUUUGUAUAUGUAUAAGUUAUGAUGCGGGUUACUCUUGUAGUAUUGCCUGUACAUUCUUGUACAUUUUGUUGCAAGAUGUUGUCGGCGUGCACUUCUCCCCUAGUAGGACGUCGCGACCCGUUGGGUGUCGGUCUACGGCCCAAAUGGUAGCCUUUAAUGUUUUAAUACAUUGAAGACCUUUGGUGUUUCCUGACCGACUGCUCGGCGGUACUCGUACGGUAUUAAGCCGCAUAUUAAUAUGCGUCCAUACCCGUCGCAAGCGAGGUUAAUUUUUGGUAGUACGGACCUAGUGCCGUCGCUGAAAUUAAUCAGCUGUUGGUUGUACGGUGUUCUAGGACAGGCUAAAAAUAUUACCGGUCGGCGAUGCUACUGCUUUGGGUACUUUCAGGACCCGUCUUGAAACACGGACCAAGGAGUCUAACAUGUGCGCGAGUCAUUGGGAUUUUUUAAAAAUUAAACCUAAAGGCGUAAUGAAAGUAAAGGUUGUCCUUGCGUCAACCGAGGGAGGAUGAGUUGUAUUAAGAUACAGCUUCGCACUCCCAGGGCGUCUCAUCUCAUUGCGAGAAGAGGCGCACUAAG
Molecule: ribosomal RNA, 658 nt
Filed under: Aptenobracon formicoides
Lineage: Eukaryota; Metazoa; Arthropoda; Insecta; Hymenoptera; Braconidae
Description: partial large subunit ribosomal RNA
Rfam family: Eukaryotic large subunit ribosomal RNA
Source: RNAcentral